RNAcentral lists this transfer RNA (66 nucleotides) under Margattea nimbata. RNAcentral describes it as "tRNA-Cys". Lineage: Eukaryota; Metazoa; Arthropoda; Insecta; Blattodea; Pseudophyllodromiidae. The record is from RNAcentral.
AGUUUUAUAUUCAUGAAUGAUAAUAGAAUGCAAUUCUAUAGGAAUAACAAAGAGUUAUUAAGACUU